GAUGAAGAACGCAGCGAAAUGCGAUACGUAAUGUGAAUUGCAGAAUUCAGUGAAUCAUCGAAUCUUUGAACGCAUAUUGCGCUCUCUGGUAUUCCGGAGAGCAUGCUUGUUUGAGUAUCAGUAAACACCUCAACUCCCUUUUCUUUUUUGAAAUUGGAGCUGGACUUGAGUGAUCCCAACGCUUUCUUCCAAGAAAGUGGCGGGUUGCUUGAAAUGCAGGUGCAGCUGAACUUUUCUCUGAGCUAUAAGCAUAUCUAUUUAGUCUGCCUAAAAAACAGAUUAUUACCUUUGCUGCAGCUAACAUAAAGGAGACUAGUUCUUGUGCUGACUGAUGCAGGAUUCACAGAGACAGCUUCGGCUGACUUUGUAAACUCGAUCUCAAAUCAAGUAAGACUACCCGCUGAACUUAAGCAUAUCAUAAGCGGAGGA
Molecule: unclassified non-coding RNA, 429 nt
Filed under: soil metagenome
Description: partial contains 5.8S ribosomal RNA, internal transcribed spacer 2, and large subunit ribosomal RNA
Rfam family: 5.8S ribosomal RNA (bases 1-120)
Source: RNAcentral